RNAcentral lists this ribosomal RNA (607 nucleotides) under Fictibacillus sp. Its description in RNAcentral is "bacterial SSU rRNA". It matches the Rfam family "Bacterial small subunit ribosomal RNA", at positions 81 to 677 of the family's 1533-position model. Lineage: Bacteria; Bacillati; Bacillota; Bacilli; Caryophanales; Fictibacillaceae. The record is from RNAcentral.
GCUCCUCUGAUUUAGCGGCGGACGGGUGAGAAACGUGGGUAAUCUGCCUGUAAGACGGGGAUAACUCCGGGAAACCGGGGCUAAUACCGGAUAAUAAGAGAAGAAGCAUUUCUUCUUUUUGAAAGUCGGUUUCGGCUGACACUUACAGAUGAGCCCGCGGCGCAUUAGCUAGUUGGUGAGGUAACGGCUCACCAAGGCGACGAUGCGUAGCCGACCUGAGAGGGUGAUCGGCCACACUGGGACUGAGACACGGCCCAGACUCCUACGGGAGGCAGCAGUAGGGAAUCUUCGGCAAUGGGCGAAAGCCUGACCGAGCAACGCCGCGUGAGCGAUGAAGGCCUUCGGGUCGUAAAGCUCUGUUGUUAGAGAAGAACAAGUACGAGAGUAACUGCUCGUACCUUGACGGUACCUAACCAGAAAGCCACGGCUAACUACGUGCCAGCAGCCGCGGUAAUACGUAGGUGGCAAGCGUUAUCCGGAAUUAUUGGGCGUAAGCGCGCGCAGGCGGUCUCUUAAGUCUGAUGUGAAAGCCCACGGCUCAACCGUGGAGGGUCAUUGGAAACUGGGAGACUUGAGUGCAGGAGAGAAAAGUGGAAUUCCACGUGUA